RNAcentral lists this long non-coding RNA (933 nucleotides) under Sorghum bicolor (sorghum). Its description in RNAcentral is "long non-coding RNA (SBIC_LNC007930)". The record is from RNAcentral. Lineage: Eukaryota; Viridiplantae; Streptophyta; Magnoliopsida; Poales; Poaceae.
CGGCCGGUUGUUGUCUUAUCUGGUUUUCAAGUUAUGAGUACGUAUAUUUUGGAAUGGAGUAAUUGUGCAUAAAUAGAGUAUUUAUAUAUACUUUUUGUAAUUGGGUAUAUGUACAUACUUUUUGUAAUAGAGUAUAUGUACAUACAUUUUAGAAUGAGUAUCCUUACAUACUUUUUGGAAUAGAGUAUUUGUAUAUACAAUUUAGAAUGGAGUAUGCAUACAUACACCAAGAUUUACAUAGUAUAAGUGUAUACUUAAACCAAACGAUCGGAGUAUAUGUGCAUGCAUUCACUUAUGAGAGAUACAAAACAAGAGUAUGUAUUUAACUAUUUUUAUUAUAAUUGUGAACCUAGCUUGAAAUAAACAAAAUUUAAGUCAUGUGCGAUAUCGAUCGAUCCAUAAGAUGAGAGAAACGCCCGUCUCCAGAAGCAAGUCAGGCGCGAUCCAUCAGAUGAGACAAACGCCGUCUCCAAAACGAGAUGAUGGGAUCAAUCUGCACAUUUCAGCCUGUAUAGAACAGAGAGCACCAUGAUCACUGAUCUCUACAGCCUUUUGAAACGGUGGUGGACAAAAAAAAUUAAUUAUGAACUCUAGAAAAUCUCAGGAAUCCAAAUUCUAUGGAUCAAUGCACGAAUUCCUACAUCUCGCCGCUCCCUGAUCUUAUCCGAAGAGGGACCAUCUCGCGGCUCCCUGAUCUGAAAAGACCAAAGGAACUUGACGCUAAGCCUUAAUAUACUACUGGAGAAAACAACAUUGAUUUUGCCAUAUUAAAUCAAUACCUUGUCACCAGGGAUGAUACACGUUCGUAUGCAGAUCUCUCGUCGUGAUCUCCAAGAUGAGAUGAGAGUAUGAGACUGAAUGCGAAACGAAGAAAGCGGGACCUAGUGAGCCAAUGAGACGACGCCGGCGGCUCCGGUGAAUGUUGUAUUGCUU